RNAcentral lists this unclassified non-coding RNA (399 nucleotides) under Gallus gallus (chicken). Its description in RNAcentral is "G. domesticus expressed sequence Tag". Lineage: Eukaryota; Metazoa; Chordata; Aves; Galliformes; Phasianidae. The record is from RNAcentral.
GGGCUAUGGAGAGUGAAUCCAACGUGUGCAAUAAGGACCUGUGGGGGCCCCAAACCGGGCUACCAGCUCCUCACCAACCAGCUGCAGCGCCUCUGCAUGGUGCUAGACGUCUACCUGGAGACAGAGCCCCACGACACCACUGUGGAGGGACCCAAAGAGUUCCCCCAGGAGAAGAUGUGCCUGCGCCUGGUCAGGGGCCCCAUGCGCUUGAAGCCGUUCAAGUUCAACUACCCUCAGGGGUUCUUCAGCCACCGCUGAGUCCUGCUGGGCUCCCCUGCCUGGGCACUGCUCUGGGACCCAGCCUCAUCCUGUCUGCGGUGUUCCCUUCCCAUCAUUUCAGUUUUUUUUAAUGAUAUUUUGGGUCUUGUGUUUGAGGUUUUGUAACUGAAGGGAUUAAAU